UUUCCGUAGGUGAACCUGCGGAAGGAUCAUUAACUAGUAUUGAAGUCCACGGGGAUCAGGCUUUCCGAAAGGAGGGUGGGGGGAUGUUUGGUUCCCCCUGCUUGGGCAGACUGGAGAGCAUUGUGUAGCCACUUUUGUUGGCUACGUUAUGUUUGGCCUCUGCUGAUCGAGCUUGUCACCUGAAUUCUACUACCCUUGCUUUUUGCGCACCCAUUGUUUCCUCGGUAGGCUUGCCUGCCAGUAGGACCAUUUAAAACCCUUUGUGAUUGCAAUCAGCGUCAGAAACAACGUAAUCGUUACAACUUUCAACAACGGAUCUCUUGGUUCUG
RNAcentral lists this unclassified non-coding RNA (329 nucleotides) under root metagenome. RNAcentral's name for it is "partial contains small subunit ribosomal RNA, internal transcribed spacer 1, and 5.8S ribosomal RNA". The record is from RNAcentral.